Molecule: ribosomal RNA, 531 nt
Filed under: Petaurista philippensis (Indian giant flying squirrel)
Lineage: Eukaryota; Metazoa; Chordata; Mammalia; Rodentia; Sciuridae
Description: partial 16S ribosomal RNA
Rfam family: Bacterial large subunit ribosomal RNA
Source: RNAcentral
UAUUAGAGGCACUGCCUGCCCAGUGACAUAUGUUCAACGGCCGCGGUAUCCUGACCGUGCAAAGGUAGCAUAAUCAUUUGUUCCUCAAAUAGGGACUUGCAUGAAUGGCUUAACGAGGGUUCAACUGUCUCUUACUCCCAAUCAGUGAAAUUGACCUCCCCGUGAAGAGGCGGGGAUAAUCAAAUAAGACGAGAAGACCCUAUGGAGCUUAAAUUUACUAAUCUAAGCAAUCUGAUAUUAACUCUCCCCGGAAUAAUUAAAAUCCUGCCUUUAGAUUACAGAUUUUGGUUGGGGUGACCUCGGAGCACAAGACAACCUCCGAAUGAUUUUAACCUAGACAUCACAUGUCCAAGUUCAUAUUCAUCAAUUGACCCAAUCCUAUUGAUCAACGGAACAAGUUACCCUAGGGAUAACAGCGCAAUCCUACUCAAGAGUCCAUAUCGACAGUAGGGUUUACGACCUCGAUGUUGGAUCAGGACAUCCAAAUGGUGUAACCGCUAUUAAUGGUUCGUUUGUUCAACGAUUAAAGUC